RNAcentral lists this ribosomal RNA (253 nucleotides) under Bifidobacterium longum subsp. infantis ATCC 15697 = JCM 1222 = DSM 20088. Its description in RNAcentral is "partial 16S ribosomal RNA". It matches the Rfam family "Bacterial small subunit ribosomal RNA", at positions 524 to 776 of the family's 1533-position model. Lineage: Bacteria; Bacillati; Actinomycetota; Actinomycetes; Bifidobacteriales; Bifidobacteriaceae. The record is from RNAcentral.
UACGUAGGGUGCAAGCGUUAUCCGGAAUUAUUGGGCGUAAAGGGCUCGUAGGCGGUUCGUCGCGUCCGGUGUGAAAGUCCAUCGCUUAACGGUGGAUCCGCGCCGGGUACGGGCGGGCUUGAGUGCGGUAGGGGAGACUGGAAUUCCCGGUGUAACGGUGGAAUGUGUAGAUAUCGGGAAGAACACCAAUGGCGAAGGCGGGUCUCUGGGCCGUUACUGACGCUGAGGAGCGAAAGCGUGGGGAGCGAACAGG